This 724-nucleotide ribosomal RNA is filed under the name Escherichia coli. RNAcentral's name for it is "partial 23S ribosomal RNA". It matches the Rfam family "Bacterial large subunit ribosomal RNA", at positions 2198 to 2916 of the family's 2925-position model. The record is from RNAcentral. Lineage: Bacteria; Pseudomonadati; Pseudomonadota; Gammaproteobacteria; Enterobacterales; Enterobacteriaceae.
UACCACCCUUUAAUGUUUGAUGUUCUAACGUUGACCCGUGAUCCGGGUUGCGGACAGUGUCUGGUGGGUAGUUUGACUGGGGCGGUCUCCUCCUAAAGAGUAACGGAGGAGCACGAAGGUUGGCUAAUCCUGGUCGGACAUCAGGAGGUUAGUGCAAUGGCAUAAGCCAGCUUGACUGCGAGCGUGACGGCGCGAGCAGGUGCGAAAGCAGGUCAUAGUGAUCCGGUGGUUCUGAAUGGAAGGGCCAUCGCUCAACGGAUAAAAGGUACUCCGGGGAUAACAGGCUGAUACCGCCCAAGAGUUCAUAUCGACGGCGGUGUUUGGCACCUCGAUGUCGGCUCAUCACAUCCUGGGGCUGAAGUAGGUCCCAAGGGUAUGGCUGUUCGCCAUUUAAAGUGGUACGCGAGCUGGGUUUAGAACGUCGUGAGACAGUUCGGUCCCUAUCUGCCGUGGGCGCUGGAGAACUGAGGGGGGCUGCUCCUAGUACGAGAGGACCGGAGUGGACGCAUCACUGGUGUUCGGGUUGUCAUGCCAAUGGCACUGCCCGGUAGCUAAAUGCGGAAGAGAUAAGUGCUGAAAGCAUCUAAGCACGAAACUUGCCCCGAGAUGAGUUCUCCCUGACUCCUUGAGAGUCCUGAAGGAACGUUGAAGACGACGACGUUGAUAGGCCGGGUGUGUAAGCGCAGCGAUGCGUUGAGCUAACCGGUACUAAUGAACCGUGAGG